This is a long non-coding RNA of Rhododendron vialii, 820 nucleotides long. RefSeq lists it as uncharacterized. The record is from RefSeq and is a predicted model, not a curated record. Lineage: Eukaryota; Viridiplantae; Streptophyta; Magnoliopsida; Ericales; Ericaceae. The transcript is spliced from 3 exons.
CCUCACUCUCCCGCUGGGCUUUUUUUUUUUUCUGUGGUCUCUCCCGCUGUCUCCCUCUCCCUCUCCCUCUCUCUCUCUCUUCGAUCGACCCACCACCAUAGACCCACCGAAUCCCAGUCGCUCCUCUCUGGCAAUCCCGAUUGGACACCAUUAACACCACCGACCGGCACAACGAUCACCACUGUAACAACCACUGUUCGAGGUUCCCAGAGUUCGAAUCGAUGGCAUGUAGUUCUUCUUCACCCCAAACGGUACGAGUACUUCUCAGGUUUGGGUUUUUCUCUUUCCAAGGGAUUUCUUCUAUUUCCGAGCACCGCUAAAGUAGUGGAACAGCCGAGGUCAAGGACUCAAAGAUUGUGAAGGAUGCCAAUCUAGCCUUUAACUCCUUUCAAAAGUCUGCAACGACUUGCCGACAUGGAUAACGUGACUAUUUUUGGCCAGGUAAGAUGUUCUAUAAUUUUGUAAUGAAACAAAUUGCUUUCAUAUAAUUUUCCAAUAGCACAGUUUUAUUGCUCAACAGAGAUACGUGAAUUGAGGAAAAUGGUAGCCAAGUUUUCUUUUUCUAUUUUAAUAGGUACAACACAGUUUUAUAACAACUUUGAUGUUAUGAACUCUACUCUGCAAUUAUUAACAAAAAAAUCGAAGGCAAGGAGAAAUGGCUCAACAAAGACAAAAUGCAACCACAAAAGGCAAGGAAAAAGAUAAGGCAAUUCGUUCCAACGGAAAAGAGAAAAAUUGGGUAUGAUUCAAAGAGUUGAGUAGGUCAAUAAUCUAUCAUAUUUAUGGGACUAUGCGAACAGAAAGAUCAUUCCAUAUAAUA